CGUGACGUCAGACGCCAGUCGACAAGGCGCCGCGCGCGAGACCGGCUGGGAACCCCCUGGUGAGGAGCGCGGGUCCUGUGGACGAGCCGCCAUGAGCAAGGCCCACCCUCCCGAGCUGAAGAAAUUUAUGGACAAGAAGUUAUCACUGAAAUUAAAUGGCGGCAGACAUGUCCAAGGAAUACUGCGGGGAUUUGAUCCCUUCAUGAAUCUUGUGAUUGAUGAAUGUGUGGAAAUGGCAACUAGUGGGCAGCAAAAUAAUAUUGGGAUGGUGGUCAUACGAGGAAAUAGCAUCAUCAUGUUGGAAGCUUUGGAACGAGUUUAAACAGUGACUUUUUAGAGGAAUUCAUGCCCCCUUCUCAAAAGGCCUAUUUUACUAUUGAUGUGAAAUCAGCCUGACACUGAGGAAAGAAUUAAACAAUUGAAGUGACAAGAGCCCGGCAUGGUGACGAAUGCUUUUUAAUCCCAGCACUUAGGAGGCACAAGUAGGAGGAUGGCAUGAGUUCGAGGCCACCCUGAGACUACAUAGUGAAUUU
Molecule: RNA transcript, 533 nt
Organism: Jaculus jaculus (lesser Egyptian jerboa)
Lineage: Eukaryota; Metazoa; Chordata; Mammalia; Rodentia; Dipodidae
Gene: Snrpg
Gene name: small nuclear ribonucleoprotein polypeptide G
Exons: 5
Source: RefSeq, a predicted model, not a curated record